UACGUAGGGUGCAAGCGUUGUCCGGAAUUAUUGGGCGUAAAGAGCUCGUAGGCGGUCUGUCGCGUCGGAUGUGAAAACCCAGGGCUCAACCCUGGGCCUGCAUUCGAUACGGGCAGACUAGAGUUCGGUAGGGGAAGACUGGAAUUCCUGGUGUAGCGGUGAAAUGCGCAGAUAUCAGGAGGAACACCGGUGGCGAAGGCGGGUCUCUGGGCCGAAACUGACGCUGAGGAGCGAAAGCGUGGGGAGCAAACAGG
RNAcentral lists this ribosomal RNA (254 nucleotides) under uncultured bacterium. RNAcentral describes it as "partial 16S ribosomal RNA". It matches the Rfam family "Bacterial small subunit ribosomal RNA", at positions 524 to 776 of the family's 1533-position model. The record is from RNAcentral.